Molecule: ribosomal RNA, 56 nt
Filed under: Aspergillus penicillioides
Lineage: Eukaryota; Fungi; Ascomycota; Eurotiomycetes; Eurotiales; Aspergillaceae
Description: partial 18S ribosomal RNA
Source: RNAcentral
AAUUUAGCGGCCGCGAAUUCGCCCUUUCCGUAGGUGAACCUGCGGAAGGAUCAUUA